AGUGAACGCUGGCGGUAGGCCUAACACAUGCAAGUCGAACGGCAGCACAGUAAGAGCUUGCUCUUACGGGUGGCGAGUGGCGGACGGGUGAGGAAUACAUCGGAAUCUACUUUUUCGUGGGGGAUAACGUAGGGAAACUUACGCUAAUACCGCAUACGACCUACGGGUGAAAGCAGGGGAUCUUCGGACCUUGCGCGAUUGAAUGAGCCGAUGUCGGAUUAGCUAGUUGGCGGGGUAAAGGCCCACCAAGGCGACGAUCCGUAGCUGGUCUGAGAGGAUGAUCAGCCACACUGGAACUGAGACACGGUACAGACUCCUACGGGAGGCAGAAGUGGGGACUAUUGGACAAUGGGCGCAAGCCUGAUCCAGCCAUACCGGGUGGGUGAAGCAGGCCUUCGGGUUGUAAAGCCCUUUUGUUGGGAAAGAAAAGCAGCAGGAUAAUACCACGCUGUUCUGACGGUACCCAAAGAAUAAGCACCGGCUAACUUCGUG
RNAcentral lists this ribosomal RNA (492 nucleotides) under uncultured bacterium. Its description in RNAcentral is "partial 16S ribosomal RNA". It matches the Rfam family "Bacterial small subunit ribosomal RNA", at positions 29 to 507 of the family's 1533-position model. The record is from RNAcentral.